GUCAUGUAUUAAUCUUUCUCUUUGUUUAUCAAGUUCCUGUUAAAGGUUGAAGUCCAUUCAGUUAGUGUUAAUAUACAUUGUUAACUAUCAUUACAGGUUGGGCAGCAAUGUAGUGCAGCCUCCACGUGGCGCUGCCUGGGAUCACUAGUGGCUACUACUGCUAGUGAUGCUAAGAGCACUACACACAAGAAGAAUAUAACAAGACUGUACUAACAGUUCAAGUUGAAAUAAAGAUGAAAUGUCAAGUCAUGUAAUACUAAAGAAACAAGAGAUUUAUGAAGACACAAACAUUGUUGACACUUCCUCUUCAUUUACUAUUUAGAUAUUCAUUCAUUAAUAUUUUGCUAAUUUUUUUAAACAAUUACUUUACAUUGUGAUUGAA
Long non-coding RNA from Amphimedon queenslandica, 382 nucleotides. RefSeq lists it as uncharacterized. The transcript has 2 exons. NCBI's taxonomy places the organism in Eukaryota, Metazoa, Porifera, Demospongiae, Haplosclerida, Niphatidae. The record is from RefSeq and is a predicted model, not a curated record.